CCUACGGGGGGCAGCAGUGGGGAAUUUUGGGCAAUGGCCGAAAGGCUGACCCAGCGACGCCGCGUGUGGGAGGAAGCUCUUCGGGGUGUAAACCACUGUCAGAGGGGACGAAUGCCGGUAUGGGGAAUACUCAUGCCGGGUGACGGUACCCUCAAAGGAAGCACCGGCUAACUCUGUGCCAGCAGCCGCGGUAAUACAGAGGGUGCGAGCGUUGUUCGGAAUCACUGGGCGUAAAGCGCGCGCAGGCGGUUUUGCAAGUCUGGAGUGAAAUCCCGUCGCUCAACGACGGGGCUGCUUUGGAAACUGCGGGACUGGAGAUCGGUAGAGGCUGGUAGAAUUGCAGGUGUAGCGGUGGAAUGCGUAGAGAUCUGCAAGAAUACCCGUGGCGAAGGCGGCCAGCUGGGCCGAAUCUGACGCUGAGGCGCGAAAGCGUGGGGAGC
RNAcentral lists this ribosomal RNA (440 nucleotides) under uncultured bacterium. RNAcentral describes it as "bacterial SSU rRNA". It matches the Rfam family "Bacterial small subunit ribosomal RNA", at positions 338 to 769 of the family's 1533-position model. The record is from RNAcentral.